AAUGCAAAUGUGCAGUUCUUCGAGGCACUCAAACACACAUUUCUUGCUUUCAAUGGUUGAUAUGUAGUUAGAUUGUUGACAAUUUUUAUUGUUAAAACAAUCUUCUAAAAGAAAAGAAGUUGGCAAUAUCUUACUCUAUAGCCAUGAAUCCAUUGGGCUGAUCUUGAUGCUCUGGAGAUAUGAAAGUAAAUUUAUGAAAUUGAAAUUUGUAGUCGGCAGUGGGGAAACCAUAGUGAAGGUGUGGAAAUGGCAUCCAGAAAGCUUCAACCCUAUAAUAGUGA
Molecule: long non-coding RNA, 281 nt
Filed under: Elaeis guineensis (African oil palm)
Lineage: Eukaryota; Viridiplantae; Streptophyta; Magnoliopsida; Arecales; Arecaceae
Description: long non-coding RNA (EGUI_LNC002749)
Source: RNAcentral